GAUGAACGCUGGCGGCGUGCCUAAUACAUGCAAGUCGAGCGAACGGACGAGAAGCUUGCUUCUCUGAUGUUAGCGGCGGACGGGUGAGUAACACGUGGAUAACCUACCUAUAAGACUGGGAUAACUUCGGGAAACCGUAGCUAAUACCGGAUAAUAUUUUGAACCGCAUGGUUCAAAAGUGAAAGACGGUCUUGCUGUCACUUAUAGAUGGAUCCGCGCUGCAUUAGCUAGUUGGUAAGGUAACGGCUUACCAAGGCAACGAUGCAUAGCCGACCUGAGAGGGUGAUCGGCCACACUGGAACGGAGACACGGUCCAGACUCCUACGGGAGGCAGCAGUAGGGAAUCUUCCGCAAUGGGCGAAAGCCUGACGGAGCAACGCCGCGUGAGUGAUGAAGGUCUUCGGAUCGUAAAACUCUGUUAUUAGGGAAGAACAUAUGUGUAAGUAACUGUGCACAUCGUGACGGUACCUAAUCAGAAAGCCACGGCUAACUACGUG
Molecule: ribosomal RNA, 497 nt
Filed under: uncultured bacterium
Lineage: Bacteria
Description: partial 16S ribosomal RNA
Rfam family: Bacterial small subunit ribosomal RNA
Source: RNAcentral